AACGAACGCUGGCGGCAUGCCUAACACAUGCAAGUCGAACGAGACCUUCGGGUCUAGUGGCGCACGGGUGCGUAACGCGUGGGAACCUGCCCUUAGGUUCGGAAUAACUCCCCGAAAGGGGUGCUAAUACCGGAUAAUGUCUUCGGACCAAAGAUUUAUCGCCUUUGGAUGGGCCCGCGUUGAAUUAGCUAGUUGGUAGGGUAAAAGCCUACGAAGGCGACGAUCCAUAGCUGGUCUGAGAGGAUGAUCAGCCACACUGGGACUGAGACACGGCCCAGACUCCUACGCGAGGCAGCAGUGGGGAAUAUUGGACAAUGGGCGAAAGCAUGAUCCAGCAAUGACGCGUGAGUGAUGAAGGCCUUAGGGUUGUAAAGCUCUUUUACCCGGGAUGAUCAUGACAGUACCGGGAGAAUAAGCUCCGGCUAACUCCGUG
RNAcentral lists this ribosomal RNA (433 nucleotides) under uncultured bacterium. RNAcentral describes it as "partial 16S ribosomal RNA". It matches the Rfam family "Bacterial small subunit ribosomal RNA", at positions 29 to 507 of the family's 1533-position model. The record is from RNAcentral.